Eutrema salsugineum is the source of this 4358-nucleotide RNA transcript. It is a transcript of the gene named BTB/POZ domain-containing protein At3g44820, with no coding region annotated. The transcript has 6 exons. The record is from RefSeq and is a predicted model, not a curated record. NCBI's taxonomy places the organism in Eukaryota, Viridiplantae, Streptophyta, Magnoliopsida, Brassicales, Brassicaceae.
CUUUGUCUCCUUAAUUCCCUCUCCGAUUUAUUGCUUUUCUAUUUUAGUUUCAGCUGAAAAUCAUACAUAACGUAAAAGGAGAAAAAAACCCUUUUCUUCCUGGGAUCUAUAAAACUGAUAUAUCAUCCACUUUCCCUGAUUUCACUCUAAAAAUCUCUUCUUUGAGAUGAUAGUAAUUUCACUUUUCUUUUUUAAGGAAAAAAAUAAGGGAGAUAUUAUCGUUUCUUUGAUUUACUCUCUUUCGGGUGGGAAGUAGUUUUCCAGAAGAUUAUUAGAGAGGAAGAAGCACAAAAAAUUACAAGUAGCUUCGAUUAAAAUCAGGAAACUGUUUGUUUUCAAUUUUGGUGAAACAGAAAGUAUUUAUAUUUUAAUUUUGUACUUUUAAAUCGUUUUGGAUUUUCUUCCGUCUUUGGUUGAUUUUAGCUGUAAAGGGCCACACACCAAUGCCCACAAAAUGCCCCUUCUUGACGUCUCUUCUCUCUCUCUGUGACUUUUGAUUUGAAUGAUUUGAAAAACAAUUAAUUAAUUUUCCUUCUUCUUAGAAUUCGCUUUUUGUCUGAAAGUUUUGAUGGAGUUGUAGUGGUGUUCCUUUUCUCUUCAGUUUAUUAUUAUUCUCUUCUUUGGCUCCGUGGAGAAAUUUCUGGGGUUUGGUGGGUUUCUUUCUUUUAAAUUUCCCUGUGAGAUGUGAAAAUUUUCAUUUUUGAUAAUUUGGGUCUUCUCUCUCAGAGGCAUGUCACCUGCAGCCAAAGUCUCUGACUUUCACAGAGAAGGGAAUGACUGGUUUUGCAAAACAGGACUGUCAAGUGAUAUCACUGUUGUUGUUGAUGAUGUGAAGUUCCAUCUUCAUAAGUUUCCGCUGGUGUCAAAAUGUGGAAAGCUAGCACGGAUGUAUGAAGAUUCUGAAAGCUCCAAUAAGAAGUCUCUUUGGACAACAGUUCUUGAAGAGUUCCCAGGUGGUGCAGAUACUUUCCUGAUAGCUGCUAGAUUCUGUUACGGGACUCGCGUAGAUUUCACCUCAAAGAACAUAGUUCCCAUACACUGUGCAGCUGAGUACCUCGAGAUGACAUAUGAAUACGGAGAAGAUAACUUGAUUUACCAAGCCGAAACAUUUUUACACAAGCACGUGCUUCGCAAUUGGAAAGAGUGUAUCUUGGCCUUACAAAGCUCAAAUCCGGUGUUGAAGACUGCAGAAAAGCUUCAGACAAUACCAAAACUCAUGAACGCUGUGUCCACGAUGGUGUGUACUGACCCUAGUUUGUUUGGAUGGCCCAUGAUGAUGUAUGGUACAUUGCAGAGUCCUGGUGGAAGCAUUCUAUGGAACGGAAUACACACGGGAGCGAGAAUGAGAAGCUCGGGUUCGGAUUGGUGGUACGAAGAUAUCUCUUAUCUAAGUGUAGAUUUGUUUAGAAGGCUCAUCAAGACGAUGGAAACAAAAGGUAUACGUGCUGAAAGUUUAGCCGGUGCUAUGAUGUAUUAUGCGAGAAAGUACUUGCCUGGUUUGGGACGGUGGCAGAGCGGAACAAGUGGGAGAAGUAAAAGCAGAAGAAGUGUUGUGAGUUUUAGUUUGGCACCAGCGUCUUCGUCCUCCUCUAUGUCUCCUGUUGAUCAGAUUGUUCUGCUUGAAACCAUUCUAAGUCUUCUACCUGAAAAGAGAGGAAGAUCAUACUGCAAGUUCUUGUUAGGUCUCCUUCGUGUUGCCUUCAUUUUGGGAGUUGAUGGGAGUUGCGUACAGAAAUUGGAGAGAAGGAUAGGGAUGCAGUUGGAGCUUGCAACGCUCGAGAAUCUUCUGAUUCUUAACUAUUCUGAUUCAGAGACGCUUUAUAAUGUAGAUUGCGUAGAACGAAUGAUCCGCCAUUUUGUGUCAUCAUCAUCUUCCUCACAGUUACCUGACUUCUCUCCUCCAUCAUUGGAUCCAGAGAUGUCUCCUUCCUCUUCAGCACCCUUGAGAAAAGUGGCUAAGCUGGUCGAUAGCUACAUGGCAGAGGUUGCUUCCGAUGUGAAUCUUAAACCGGAUAAGAUGAGGUCUCUUGCAGCAGCUCUUCCAGAGUCUUCAAGACCCUUAUAUGAUGGUCUAUACAGAGCAUUUGAUAUCUACUUUAAGGAGCAUCCAUGGCUAUCAGAUAAAGACAAGGAACAACUCUGCAACAUCAUGGACUAUCAAAGACUCUCCAUAGAAGCUUGUGCUCAUGCUUCCCAUAACGAUAGGUUACCGCUCAGAGUUGUUCUUCAAGUCCUCUUCUUCGAGCAAAUGCAUCUCAGAACCGCUCUUGCAAGCGGUCUCAAUGUUGCAAACACCGAAACAGCUCAUGCACUGACCGUUCCAGGCAGGGAAACAGGACAGCAGAUAGUUCAGAGAGAUGGGUGGGUGACCGUUGUGCGCCAAAACCAGGUUUUAAAAGUUAAUAUGCAGAAAAUGAGGUCACGGGUCGGAGAACUGGAAGAGGAGUUUCAGAGUAUUAAGCAGGAGAUCAUGAAGAAGAGAGUGAAUAAGUCCUCUAGCUCCAUGAGCUCACCUCGUCUGGUCAAGAUGGGCUGCAAGUUUCUUCUUCCACGACCCUCUGAUGCCAAGAAUGAUACAGUCCAGAGCUCGUUGGCUAGCACUCCUAGAUCUUCUGCCGCUGACCACGUGCUGCCUCGCUCUUCCCGCCAUUCCAAACACCGGAAAAGCUUCUCCUUUUUCGGAUGAAUCUCCCUCCAAAAACGUUUAUCAGCUCAUCUCCUCUCAUAACCCAACACAAAGAAAGUUCCUUUUUCUUUUUCUCAGACUUUCCUUCCAGAAAGUUUCUCUCUCUUCCCGGGAAACCCAACAGAAAAGCUGCUUCUCUUCAUUGCCGAUAAUCCCAACAUAAAUUUUUUCCCUUUUCCUGUGAAAACCAACAGAAAAAGGGUUGCUUCGUUUCAAGAACAAAAGCUGGUCACUUGAAGUUGGGUCUCUUUCAGUUCAGCAAAGCGUUCUGUGUUCUUUAUCACUCUUUGGUUAAGAGUAUUUGCCGCGGUUUUUCUCACAAGGUGAAGCAAGUUUGAUCAUAUACAAAGUUUAAUCGUUUUCUGAAAACGAGAAAAGGAAAUCUUGAAAAAAAUAUCCAUUCAUUAGCCUCAUCCAUAAACAAAAGAGAACCUCAAAAUUCGCAGACCAGCAAAAAGGACUCAUAACUGAACCUUGUGAUAUGGGGCAUGGUGAAGAAGUUGCGGAUCUUGUACCACAAGGGAAAGGGUCUGUCUCUAAUCCGAGUUGUGUGGCUUCAUUGAAUUGUCUUCCAGAUUAGCUUCUUGUCCAACUUUUGUCCUUUUUUCCUUAUUAAAGAAGCUGUUGUGUUCUCUCCAAAAUGUGGAGGACUCUAUUUGCUGUUCCGCAUGAUCUAGAUUUUGACGAUUCCAUCUAUUGGUAUCCGGAAGAAGGUAAACGGGACAAGGACGACAUUCGAAAGAGUUUCAGGGAUUUCGUGGAUAGAAUAUUGGCUUUGCAAGGUGGUGACCCUAAGUUCUCACUAAAAUGUGAAGAUGGAGAUGAUGUAGCUCAUGUUGACCGCUGAAUAGGUAAAUGUUGGACCGAUUUUUACCUAAGCCAUUUGGGCUUAGUUAAAUCAAAGUGUGUGAAGAGAAAUGAAUUGGCUUAGCUCAAGUAGGAGCUCCGGUGGGUUGUCGGGUCGGGUUAAAAGAAGAAAUCAAGCUCGAUCUUGUGCUCCCGUGAGACUCGGUCUCCUCUAUUUUCACAAUUUCCUGAUAAUCAGCUUCAUGGAGAGAUCGUUGCAGAAGAUCUCGAAGCCCACCUCCCUAGAUUUGCGUGUUGAUUUCAAAUCAAAGCUAUCCAUAAAUCUCUACAUCAACACAAAUAGGGAUGUUGUCUUCUUCACCGAGAAACACACAAACUUCAAAACUAAAAACUCCAGCAAUCUCUCUUUGUUUUUAAUUAAGUGUUUUGAGAGUAUCGUAAAAGUUAAGUUCGUAUAUAAUCCGUGUUUUCUAGUGCUUGUAAAAACAGAUUAAAGUGACUGUAUCCUGCGGCUCUUCAAUGGGAGAAUCUCAUCGCACUGCGGGUGAUUCAAGAGUUACGGAAAGAGAUUUUGAUAGGUGUGAGAAGCCUUUGAAAGUAUAUGAGAGGCAAAGGUGGAAGAGUCAGAAAAGAAAUUGAAGUGUGAACACUCACGAGCGUGUGGAAGAGAGUAGAAUUUCACUGUUUAGUAUAAAUAGCUAAUUGUGUUUAGUGAUUUGGAUUAUGUGUUGAUUGUGUGUGUACAUGAGCUUGAUUAUCUUUCUGUUAAAAUCUUUAUGAGGUUGUUUGUAGAAAGAUAAGAUACACAGUUCUUCACUUCCUCUUGUAAUUCUCUUUUCAAUACCAAUACAAGGAAAUUCAGAGU